Molecule: long non-coding RNA, 1085 nt
Filed under: Fragaria vesca (wild strawberry)
Lineage: Eukaryota; Viridiplantae; Streptophyta; Magnoliopsida; Rosales; Rosaceae
Description: long non-coding RNA (FVES_LNC004716)
Source: RNAcentral
CUAGUUUAUCUAAAAUUAUGUCUGUUUUGGUAAUUUAAAAUACCCAUAAGAUGUGAUUAUAAGUGUAUGAAAAAAAAGGAUGUGUAUUUAGUAUUUAGGAGCGUGUGAAUAAAAUUUCUCUUAUUAUAAACACACACAUUCAUAAAAACAAGCAUCAACUUCAACCCUCUGCAAAAUUGCAAUUCACUCAACUCACUCUAUGCAUCAAUGCAGGGGAUGAAAAAACAGCUAAUCUCUAGAUUCCAAUUACUUGGAUUCAUAAAAUUCAUCACACAAGAAAAGGCUAUCAAACUUUAAACACAAACAACUAAAUAUUUACCACACUCAGAAACAAAAUCAAAGUCAAAAUUGAGGUAGGAGAUAUACCGAAUGUGUUGCUGACGCGGAUGCCAAACCUUGAACAUAUAUGAACCGAUCACCAACCGAUCUCCAGUUCCUCUUCCUCCUCCUUGAGUAUAUAUGAAGCAAGUCAACAAACAACCACUUUUAAAUAACCAGAAUGAACAAGCCAAUAGGUGAAUCAAAACCCCUAAACUCACAAUCGAACCUUUAAUCUAUAAAACCCAGUGAAUCAAAACGAAUAACGAAAUCUAUAAAAUCCUAAAAAGAAAAACGAUACGAAGUAUGAGAGAGAGAGAGGGGGUUACCUAAUCGAGAGAGGUAGCAAGUCCGAACGGCUGGGUAGAGCAGAGAGAGAUAGAGAGUGUGUUUGUGUGUGUGAUGAAAAGAAAGGGCUGUGUAGAGCUCGAGGUCGAGAGUGUGUUUCGAGACUUAGCGUGUUUUGAGAGAGUGAUGAAAGAGAGCACUGCCUUUAGGUGCAAGACCUUUCUAACCUAAAUGUUUUGUAAUCUUGAUCACACAACAUAAAAAUGAUAUCUGACUUCACAAACAAAUUAGUCACUACUAGCCUAGCCCGACUCCCAACGAAACCUCUAAACCCUCUUUUCGGUCAAUUGUUUUUGACUUAUUUAUGUAUUCAUCAAACGACAUAUAUAUGUAGUCUGUAUUGAAUAAAGAAAGAUCGAUACAUGUUGACCGCAUCGACCGAGACCCGAACAUCUUCUAAAAUCGCUGAAUUUUGUACC